GGAAUUAAAAGCAAAAAUGAACUAUUGGGACCUCAUGAAGAUAAAAAUGAAGGGAAUAUGGAUAUAACUAGUUCUUCACUUGCUUCUAGUACUGGUAAGAGAAAAUGUGGCUGCUUUCUACAAGAGGGCCCCAAUUCAGUUUUGGAGCCUUGACCAAGAGAUUUGUGAAGGUCAGAAGGAAGCCCAUUGGUGAAGGCAUAUGAUAAAAGAAAAAGGAGGAAGAUACAAGGAGAAUUUACUCUAAAUGGAAGAAGAUCUGCAGGUCUCAGUGGGGGGCUUCAGAAUAGAGAAACACAGUAGGAAGCAAAAACGUGAAGGUGUUGAACCUCCGUUUCUUACUGUAAGGUAGUGCAGCUCAACGUGCUACCCACAGACAGGGAUUUGCCUGUGAAUCGUUUAUAGCUGACCUGUGAUGAACUAUAUACAGAGGAGAAUAAGGGUGUAGAAACUUUAACAAUUUGACAGGCCAACUUUAAGUCUAUUCAAUCUAAUAAAAAAUUGGGACUUUUAUUUUGUGUAUCUUUUUUUUUCCUUUUUUUAAAUUUCACUUAGUAGUUACUAUUAUUCUUUUGCAUUUUAUAAAAGUAUUGGUCCCAGAUAGGUUGGGGGAGGAAGGGCACCUUCACUGCGGGGAGUUUGAGAAGGCAUGUUGUAGGUUGUGGAGAUGGUAGUUGGGGAGGUUUUACUCCAAGUGCUUGGUUUGGGCAGUGGGAAUGAUGCGUGCACAGGCCAGGAGCAGGUGGGAUCUCAUCUUAGCGCCUGAAGAAAAGGGGCAUGACUGAGACAGAGUCUUGUGACUCUGGGGAGUUGUGGGUUGGAGGAUGGUGUUUGGACACAGGGUGCCCACACUCGAGUGAGGCCCAGUCCCAGUGUUUAGUAGGAAUUUGCAUAUCGCCCUGCUGGGGACUUUGAGGCUGGUCAGGGGCUUCCUGCAGCCUGAGUAGGGGCUGUGGGACCAUCACCAGUAGUGUCGUCUUUGGCUCACAGGACACGAAUAGGGUUAUGUCAUCUUCUGUGCUCUGAGCUUGCUUUUCAUCCUUUAUUGGUCUCUGUUCUUUCCCACCUCGACUCUGCCUAGACAGACGUAUUGCACAAACCUUAAUGUUGAUUUUUCCCUGUUUACUGAACCUUUCUUUAAAAUUCUUCUAACAUGUGGGCAUCUGGGUGGUUCAGUCAGUUAA
This is a long non-coding RNA of Prionailurus viverrinus (fishing cat), 1181 nucleotides long. RefSeq lists it as uncharacterized. The record is from RefSeq and is a predicted model, not a curated record. The transcript is spliced from 3 exons. NCBI's taxonomy places the organism in Eukaryota, Metazoa, Chordata, Mammalia, Carnivora, Felidae.